Molecule: ribosomal RNA, 530 nt
Filed under: bacterium
Lineage: Bacteria
Description: partial 23S ribosomal RNA
Rfam family: Bacterial large subunit ribosomal RNA
Source: RNAcentral
GAGAUCGAAUGGCUUAUCGAGUAAGAGGCAUAGAUCAUUUAAAAAAUAUCAUCGUUCCAUUUUUCAUAGAGUACCCGCUGCAAACUAAAAAGAAGCAUGACUUUAAAAAGUUUUGUGAAAUUUUAGAAAUGAUAAAAGCGGGCGAUCAUUUGCAACUUGAUGGAAUAGAAACAAUACGUGCAAUUUCCAAGCAAAUGAAUCGAGGUCAAUUAAGAUAAAGUCCGGCCUUUUUGGAAACAUUAAGGAUAAUCCGAGCGAAAUUCCUUGUCGGGUAAGUUCCGACCUGCACGAAUGGCGUAACGAAUUCCCCACUGUCUCGACCGGAGACUCAGCGAAAUUGGAUUCGCGGUGAAGAUACCGUGUACCCGCGGCUAGACGGAAAGACCCCGUGAACCUUUACUGUAGCUUGGCAUAGAUCAUCUGGAAUUUCUGUGUAGGAUAGGUGGGAGACUUUGAAGCCUGGGCGCCAGCUCGGGUGGAGUCAACCUUGAAAUACCACCCUGAAAUUUCGGCUGUUCUCACCAUAGGUC